RNAcentral lists this long non-coding RNA (1990 nucleotides) under Acyrthosiphon pisum (pea aphid). Its description in RNAcentral is "uncharacterized LOC103309712, transcript variant X8". Lineage: Eukaryota; Metazoa; Arthropoda; Insecta; Hemiptera; Aphididae. The record is from RNAcentral.
GGGUAAUAAAAAAAUCACAAUAUGCCCAUGUUUAACUGUAAGUUUAUUGAUCAUCAACAUUAUUAAACUUGAAGAGCCCUUGAUGACGCUCACCCUGAGAUCGUUCGUGACUAAUGACCUUUUAUAUAAGAAGUUUGAAUUCAUGUUUGUUUUCAUUGCAUCACUUGAGAAUCAACUAAACAAUUAUUUAGCCCGUCAUGAUGUUAACCCUGAGAAUGUGCUCGACUAAUGACCUUUUAUAAAAGAAGUCUACUACAGCUGAAUUCAUGUUUGUUUUCAUUGCAUCACUUGAGAAUCAACUAAACAAUUAUUUAGCCCUUGAUGACGCUCACCCUGAGAUCGUGCGUGACUAAUGACCUUUUAUAUAAGAAGUUUGAAUUCAUGUUUGUUUUCAUUGCAUCACUUGAGAAUCAACUAAACAAUUAUUUAGCCCUUGAUGACGCUCACCCUGAGAUCGUGCGUGAAUAAUGACAUUUUAUAUAAGAAGUUUGAAUUCAUGUUUGUUUUCAUUACAUCCCUUGAGAAUCAACUAAACAAUUAUUUAGCCCGUGAUGACGUUAACCCUGAGAUCGUGCGUGACUAAUGACAUUUUAUAUAAGAAGUUUGAAUUCAUGUUUGUUUUCAUUACAUCCCUUGAGAAUCAACUAAACAAUUAUUUAGCUCUUGAUGACGCUCACCCUGAGAUCGUGCGUGAAUAAUGACAUUUUAUAUAAGAAGUUUGAAUUCAUGUUUGUUUUCAUUACAUCCCUUGAGAAUCAACUAAACAAUUAUUUAGCCCUUGAUGACGCUCACCCUGAGAUCGUUCGUGACUAAUGACCUUUUAUAUAAGAAGUUUGAAUUCAUGUUUGUUUUCAUUGCAUCACUUGAGAAUCAACUAAACAAUUAUUUAGCUCUUGAUGACGCUCACCCUGAGAUCGUGCGUGAAUAAUGACAUUUUAUAUAAGAAGUUUGAAUUCAUGUUUGUUUUCAUUACAUCCCUUGAGAAUCAACUAAACAAUUAUUUAGCCCUUGAUGACGCUCACCCUGAAAUCGUGCGUGAAUAAUGACAUUUUAUAUAAGAAGUUUGAAUUCAUGUUUGUUUUCAUUACAUCCCUUGAGAAUCAACUAAACAAUUAUUUAGCCCUUGAUGACGCUCACCCUGAGAUCGUGCGUGACUAAUGACCUUUUAUAUAAGAAGUUUGAAUUCAUGUUUGUUUUCAUUGCAUCACUUGAGAAUCAACUAAAUAAUUAUUUAGCCCUUGAUGACGCUCACCCUGAGAUCGUGCGUGAAUAAUGACAUUUUAUAUAAGAAGAUUGAAUUCAUGUUUGUUUUCAUUACAUCCCUUGAGAAUCAACUAAACAAUUAUUUAGCCCUUGAUGACGCUCACCCUGAGAUCGUGCGUGACUAAUGACCUUUUAUAUAAGAAGUUUGAAUUCAUGUUUGUUUUCAUUGCAUCACUUGAGAAUCAACUAAACAAUUAUUUGGCCCGUGAUGACAUAAACCCUGAGAUCGUGCGUGACUAAUGACCUUUUAUAUAAGAAGUUUGAAUUCAUGUUUGUUUUCAUUGCAUCCCUUGAGAAUCAACUAAACAAUUAUUUCCUGUGAUAUCAGUUAACCCUGAGAACGUGCACGACUAAUGACCUUUUAUAUAAGAAGUCUACAACAGCUGAGUUCAUGUUUGAUUUCAUUGCAUCACUUGAGAAACAACUAAACUAUUAUUUGUAAGUCACAUUAUUUAUAACUCUCGUGAUAUAUUUACCAUCGAUAGUGUUAUCCAGUAGAUACCACGUGGAGGUUGGCUGUGUGUACUCCCUCAAAAUGUUUUUUUUUUAUAAAAUUUAAUCACUUAACAUAGUUUUGAAUUUUAUUAUUUAUUAUAUAUUUUAUUAUUAAAUAUUAUUUAUUAUUUAUACUUUGUUUUUUAUAUGGUUUACCUGUAUCAGUUAUACUGGUUUUGCCUGGUAAAUAUUGAAAGAAUUUGGGAUAAAUAUUUUGCAACAUUUUUAUGGA